UAUGCAAGUAAGUGGCAGAGCUAGAAACCAGCUCUUACUCAAGAAUGCUACAAAGCUGCGCUGUAAACAGUUUGGAAACUAUUAUUGCAACUACUGCCUUAUGUUAGGCAGAGAAGUUAAAUGACUUGACAAGUUUACCCAGCCAGUUAGUAGAAGAGCUAGAAUUAGCUGUCUGUCUUCUGUCUUCCAGUUCCUCUGAUAUUUUUAGUAGACUUUGCAUAUGGAAUAUUUAGUGUGACUGAAUGUCCAGGUAGAGGUAUCCAGGACUGGACUUUGGAAAGGAGGGAGGGUUUAGAGUUACCCAAUCGAGAUUUACAUUGAGUGAAGAGUGGAAUCCACGUUGGCAGGUCAGAUUGCCAAAGAGAGAAAGAUAAGAGUUAUGAAGAAUAGUAAUCAUAUCAUAAUUCCAAAUAUACAACAAAUAAUGAUUGAGCCACUGAAAAAAAUUAAUUCGAUAACAUAAGCUGAGGUGAAGCAGUACAGCAUUUUAGAGUAUAAAAGUGAUUCUAUCGGUUUCAUAUUUACUCAGCUCAUUCAAUCACCAUCUAUGUGGUGUCUACUAGCACCAAGUUAUGUGCUAAGGAUAUAAAGAUGAAUAGAAACUUCUGAUGUCAAGAUAAUCACCACCCACUGGGAAAGCAAAUAAACAAUAAAUUAUUAGGCCAUAAUAAAACUAUAUUUAAAGUGUUAUAAGAGCACAGAAGAUAGUACUCACCUCUGCCUAAGGUAAAGUUCUCAUAAGCACAGGAUUCCAAAGCAGAACAAAGCUGACAAAAUUUUUAAUGCAGCAUGUAGCAGUAAUUUGGUGAGCACCUCAUCAAAUGUUGUACAACAGAUUAAUUAUUCCGAGCGGACUGGAAUAAUUCUCUUAAAGUGGCAUAACAGUAGCAUUAAUGUCCUUCCUUUUUUCACUUCGUCACAUUGUUUCGCUCUGCCUCUGUGCAGAAAUGAAAUUAGGGUCACCAUGCCUUUGAAAUAUAGCCUCUGCUCUCACUAAUGCUAGAGCUGUCAAAAUGAGGAAUAAGAACUAUCACUCCCAUGUCUGAUUCCUAAAUAACGAUAUUUUCUUUAAGACAGGAAAAAAACAGUUACACGUAUUCCUAAUCCAUAGUCUAAAAUACUAUCUAGCAUAAAGCUAUAUCAAAUAAAUAAAAAGAUGUGUUUGAAGUUUCAUCUAACAUCUAGUCAACUGGCUUUUGUGAAGAGUAUCUGGUUAUCACCCUUCCUUCUAGCUACACCAUACUUUAUGCUACUAUGUCCUUUUGGCUCUGUAUCCAGGAAGAAUACAGAGACCAGAAACAAUAGGGUUCAAUAAGAGGAGGAGUAUAACCUAAGGGUCCAUAGUGCAAUGUUUGGAAAUGUACCCUUGCCCUCUGGAACUUUAACAUGAACCCUAUCUCCAUUCCAUUUGUGCUCCUCUCUAAGUGCCUUCUCACCCUUAAUGUCAGCAAUCCUCAAACAACCCUGAGAAGCUGGUAUUAUUAGACUCACUUGUAGAUAUAUAAACUAAGGUCUAAUCUAAUGUUAGACAGCAAAUUAGUAACAAAACCAGGUCUGAAAGUCAGGAGUUUCUUUCUUACUAGCUCAGAAAUCUGUCCUCUAUAUCAGCAGUUGGCAAACUUUGGCUAUAGAAAGCCAGGUGAAAAAUAUUUUAGGCUUUGUGGGCCAAACCGUCUCUGUCUAGGACUGACAGAUUUAGCAAAGACAAAUGCAACACACCUAGUUACAUUUGAACUUCAAAUAAGCAACAAAUUUUUUUUAGUGUACGUCCCAUGCAAUAUUUUUGUUUAUCUGAAAUUCAAAUUUAACUAGAUUUCUUGUAUUCUAUCCGGCAACCCUAUCUCUGUCACAAUCACUCAACUCUGCCAUUGUGCACAAAAGCAGCCACAGACAAUACAUAAAUGAGCAAGUUUGACUGUAUGCAAAUAAAAUGUUGACAAAAACAGACAGCAGGGCUUAUUUGGCUGGUGGGGGGUCAUGGUUUGCUAACAUCUACUCCAUGUCAUUGGCUUUGUCUUUACUAAGAGUUGACCUGCAUAAAGG
RNAcentral lists this long non-coding RNA (2043 nucleotides) under Homo sapiens (human). Its description in RNAcentral is "HSALNT0088200". The record is from RNAcentral. Lineage: Eukaryota; Metazoa; Chordata; Mammalia; Primates; Hominidae.